This 460-nucleotide ribosomal RNA is filed under the name uncultured bacterium. RNAcentral's name for it is "partial 16S ribosomal RNA". It matches the Rfam family "Bacterial small subunit ribosomal RNA", at positions 338 to 795 of the family's 1533-position model. The record is from RNAcentral.
CCUACGGGAGGCUGCAGUGAGGAAUAUUGGUCAAUGGACGCAAGUCUGAACCAGCCAUGCCGCGUGCAGGAUGACGGCUCUAUGAGUUGUAAACUGCUUUUGUACGAGGGUAAACCCCGAUACGUGUAUCGGGUUGAAAGUAUCGUACGAAUAAGGAUCGGCUAACUCCGUGCCAGCAGCCGCGGUAAUACGGAGGAUCCGAGCGUUAUCCGGAUUUAUUGGGUUUAAAGGGUGCGUAGGCGGUUUGAUAAGUUAGAGGUGAAAUGUCGGGGCUCAACCCCGAAACUGCCUCUAAUACUGUUUGACUAGAGAAUAGUUGCGGUAGGCGGAAUGUAUGGUGUAGCGGUGAAAUGCUUAGAGAUCAUACAGAACACCGAUUGCGAAGGCAGCCUGCCAAGCCAUGACUGACGCUGAUGCACGAAAGCGUGGGGAUCAAACAGGAUUAGAUACCCCUGUAGUC